AAGAGGCGAAGCCGCGAGGCAGAGCAAAUCUCAAAAAGCCGUCCCAGUUCGGAUUGCAGGCUGCAACCCGCCUGCAUGAAGUUGGAAUCGCUAGUAAUCGCGGAUCAGCAUGCCGCGGUGAAUACGUUCCCGGGCCUUGUACACACCGCCCGUCACACCAUGAGAGUCGGGAACACCCGAAGUCCGUAGUCUGACCGCAAGGGGGACGCGGCCGAAGGUGGGUUCGAUAAUUGGGGUGAAGUCGUAACAAGGUAGC
This 256-nucleotide ribosomal RNA is filed under the name uncultured bacterium. Its description in RNAcentral is "partial 16S ribosomal RNA". It matches the Rfam family "Bacterial small subunit ribosomal RNA", at positions 1244 to 1500 of the family's 1533-position model. The record is from RNAcentral.